RNAcentral lists this ribosomal RNA (274 nucleotides) under uncultured bacterium. RNAcentral describes it as "partial 16S ribosomal RNA". It matches the Rfam family "Bacterial small subunit ribosomal RNA", at positions 523 to 796 of the family's 1533-position model. The record is from RNAcentral.
AUACGGAGGGUGCAAGCGUUACUCGGAAUCACUGGGCGUAAAGCGCGCGCAGGCGGCUUGAUAAGUUGGAUGUGAAAGCCUACGGCUCAACCGUAGAACUGCAUCCAAAACUGUCAAGCUAGAGUCUGGGAGGGGAAGAUGGAAUUAGUUGUGUAGGGGUAAAAUCCGUAGAGAUAACUAGGAAUACCAAAAGCGAAGGCGAUCUUCUGGAACAGUACUGACGCUGAGGCGCGAAAGCAUGGGGAGCAAACAGGAUUAGAAACCCCAGUAGUCC